UACAGGUGAAGAUGAAUGGGUAUCGGGUUCUAUAGGCUUUUUGGACAAAAAUGGGAAAGAGCUGGACAUACAGCCAUUUUGUCACCCUUUCUAACUGGAGCCUCAGGUCAACGAAAGCCUCUUGAUCUGUUAUCACUUUCACACAGAAGAAAAAGAUUUUAAUUUGAAAUCGUCUUCCUGGCAGGUGAUCUUCCCAAACUUCUGUGGCCAUAAAUGAAUUGAAUGAAUCAGAUAAGAUAUGAGAAGAACCAAAAAUUUGUCUUAAGAGUUAUCAAACCGAAGAAGGAGGAUUCAUCUGCCUUUUGUUCAUCAGUUGCCUUAACGCUUGAAUAAAAUGCGAAUUUCUCAUGUAAUGAAAUGUAUGAACAUUUCAUAUUAAAAUAUUUUGGUAGAAAAAGAAGAAAUUUAACACUGCAGCAAUAACAAAAUUGUGUACAUUUUACAAUGUAGUUUUGAUGUACCUUAUUGAGAUCUUGUAAAAAUGUUUUAUAUUUAAUAA
Stegodyphus dumicola is the source of this 499-nucleotide long non-coding RNA. NCBI's taxonomy places the organism in Eukaryota, Metazoa, Arthropoda, Arachnida, Araneae, Eresidae. The record is from RefSeq and is a predicted model, not a curated record.